This 844-nucleotide ribosomal RNA is filed under the name Rosellinia thelena. RNAcentral describes it as "eukaryotic LSU rRNA". It matches the Rfam family "Eukaryotic large subunit ribosomal RNA", at positions 82 to 953 of the family's 3401-position model. The record is from RNAcentral. Lineage: Eukaryota; Fungi; Ascomycota; Sordariomycetes; Xylariales; Xylariaceae.
AGUAACGGCGAGUGAAGCGGCAACAGCUCAAAUUUGAAAUCUGGCCCUCGGGUCCGAGUUGUAAUUUGUAGAGGAUGCUUUUGGCGCGGUGCCUUCCGAGUUCCCUGGAACGGGACGCCUUAGAGGGUGAGAGCCCCGUACGGUUGGACACCAAGCCUCUGUAAAGCUCCUUCGACGAGUCGAGUAGUUUGGGAAUGCUGCUCUAAAUGGGAGGUAAAUUUCUUCUAAAGCUAAAUAUUGGCCAGAGACCGAUAGCGCACAAGUAGAGUGAUCGAAAGAUGAAAAGCACUUUGAAAAGAGGGUUAAACAGCACGUGAAAUUGUUGAAAGGGAAGCGUUUGCGACCAGACCUCGCCCCGGCGGAUCAUCCGGCGUUCUCGCCGGUGCACUUCGCCGGGCUGAGGCCAGCAUCGGUUUCCGCGGGGGGACAAAAGCGGGGGGAACGUAGCUCCCUCGGGAGUGUUAUAGCCCCCCGCACAAUACCCUCGCGGGGACCGAGGACCGCGCUUCGGCAAGGAUGCUGGCGUAAUGGUCGUCAACGACCCGUCUUGAAACACGGACCAAGGAGUCGAACAUUUGUGCGAGUGUUUGGGUGUCAAACCCUCACGCGUAAUGAAGGUGAACGUAGGUGAGAGCCCUCGCGGGCGCAUCAUCGACCGAUCCUGAUGUCUUCGGAUGGAUUUGAGUAAGAGCAUAACUGUUCGGACCCGAAAGAUGGUGAACUAUGCGUGGAUAGGGUGAAGCCAGAGGAAACUCUGGUGGAGGCUCGCAGCGGUUCUGACGUGCAAAUCGAUCGUCAAAUCUGCGCAUGGGGGCGAAAGACUUAUCGAACCAUCUAGUAGCUG